This is a transfer RNA of Felis catus (domestic cat), 73 nucleotides long. It matches the Rfam family "tRNA". Rfam says of the family: Transfer RNA (tRNA) molecules are approximately 80 nucleotides in length. Their secondary structure includes four short double-helical elements and three loops (D, anti-codon, and T loops). The record is from Rfam. NCBI's taxonomy places the organism in Eukaryota, Metazoa, Chordata, Mammalia, Carnivora, Felidae.
GCCUGGCUGGCUUAGUUGGUAGAGCAUGUGAUUCUUGAUCUUAGGGUCGUGAGUUCAAGCCCCAUGUUGGGUA